AUGCUCACCUUGACAGCACACAUCCUAAAAUUGGGGUGAGACAGAAGAGUUCAUGGCCCCUGCACAAGGAUGACACUGGAAUUGAAAUUCACAUGGAAUUGUGUU
RNAcentral lists this small nuclear RNA (105 nucleotides) under Octodon degus (degu). The record is from RNAcentral. Lineage: Eukaryota; Metazoa; Chordata; Mammalia; Rodentia; Octodontidae.